RNAcentral lists this ribosomal RNA (440 nucleotides) under uncultured bacterium. Its description in RNAcentral is "partial 16S ribosomal RNA". It matches the Rfam family "Bacterial small subunit ribosomal RNA", at positions 338 to 795 of the family's 1533-position model. The record is from RNAcentral.
CCUACGGGUGGCAGCAGUAGGGAAUAUUGCUCAAUGGGGGAAACUCUGAAGCAGCAACGCCGCGUGGAGGAUGAAUGUUUUCGGAUUUUAAACUCCUUUUUUUAGAGAAGAUAAUGACUGUAUCUAACGAAUAAGCUCCGGCUAACUCCGUGCCAGCAGCCGCGGUAAUACGGAGGGUGCCAGCGUUACUCGGAAUCACUGGGCGUAAAGAGCGCGUAGGCGGGAUAGCAAGUCAGAUGUGAAAUCCUAUGGCUUAACCGUAGAACUGCAUUUGAAACUGUUAUUCUAGAGUACAGGAGAGGUAGGUGGAAUUCUUGGUGUAGGGGUAAAAUGCGUAGAGAUCAAGAGGAAUACUCAUUGCGAAGGCGGUCUGCUAGAACGUAACUGACGCUGAUGCGCGAAAGCGUGGGGAGCAAACAGGAUUAGAUACCCCAGUAGUC